CAAUAGCGUAUAUUUAAGUUGCUGCAGUUAAAAAGCUCGUAGUUGGAUUUCGGGUGGGAAUGGCCGGUCCGCCGUUUCGGUGUGCACUUGCUACGCCCACCUUGCUGCCGGGGACGUGCUCUUGAGUUCACGCUCGGGACACGGAGUCGGCGAGGUUACUUUGAGUAAAUUAGAGUGUUCAAAGCAGGCCUACGCUCUGAAUACAUUAGCAUGGAAUAACACGAUAGGACUCUGGCUUAUCUUGUUGGUCUGUGAGACCAGAGUAAUGAUUAAGAGGGACAGUCGGGGACAUUCGUAUUUCAUUGUCAGAGGUGAAAUUCUUGGAUUUAUGAAAGACGAACUACUGCGAAAGCAUUUGCCAAGGAUGUUUUCAUUAA
This 377-nucleotide ribosomal RNA is filed under the name uncultured eukaryote. Its description in RNAcentral is "partial 18S ribosomal RNA". It matches the Rfam family "Eukaryotic small subunit ribosomal RNA", at positions 592 to 976 of the family's 1831-position model. The record is from RNAcentral.